CAAUUUUUUUUACUUUUUGUGACUGCAUUUUUGCUGUUUCAAGCAUAAUUUAUCCCACGUGUUAAUUUUUGUCUUUCAGCGUAGUGAGCCAGGGAAACACUUUUUGUUGAAAAUAGCUGUAAUAUCAGUGAGCCACCAGACCAUUAAGACAGAGAUGAAAACACACCUACAAGGUACCCCAGAUAUGUACAUAAUUUUGGCUCAUUUCUUGUGGAAGUCAUGAGAAAGGACCAGAAAUUGUGGGUGGUUGCUGAGGCUCUGGAUGCCAUCUUUAAUGUGUUUGCAGAUGAUCAUCUGGACUUGUUGUCAUGGAGAUCAGAGUAACAAAAAACUCCAGACCAUAUGGUACAUGUACCACAGCUGACAGCUAAGAUUCAUCAACAGAAGAGAAACUUAGGAAACCACCUUCCUAUCAGCAUGACAGCAAGGACAAAUCUGGUGCACUUCAUCUAAUGCAAAUCUUGACCAGUAGAACUAAGACAUGUUUUUAUUCUGAAAGUUACUUACAACUCAGCAGUAAUUUGGAUCAAAGAAAUAAUUAGAGUGUAGCAUGUCAAGUUCCAUAGUUUUCUGGUGUCAAGUCAGUUUUAUAUCAGGCAACACUGAUAUUAAUCAUUAAUAUUUAUUUAUUAUUUUUUCCACAACUUUUAUGAUUGUCCCAUUAGAAGAUUCAUGUGUUAUCACAAGAGACCGAUGUAAAACUUGUUUUUGUUUUUAGCCUUUUCUUUUAAAAUUAAAUAUUAAAA
Long non-coding RNA from Lingula anatina, 746 nucleotides. Lineage: Eukaryota; Metazoa; Brachiopoda; Lingulata; Lingulida; Lingulidae. The record is from RefSeq and is a predicted model, not a curated record.